UGCCGCUUUGUCAAAUUCAGGGCCUACCUCCCUCGUGGCCGGCACUGGCCCCAAGCUGUCAGGGAAACACUGGAGCUCAUAAGCCCUGUUCUCUCUCCUGGCCUCAGGAAUGGAUUUUGUAACAGACACCA
Molecule: small nucleolar RNA, 131 nt
Organism: Echinops telfairi (small Madagascar hedgehog)
Lineage: Eukaryota; Metazoa; Chordata; Mammalia; Afrosoricida; Tenrecidae
Source: Ensembl